RNAcentral lists this ribosomal RNA (488 nucleotides) under uncultured bacterium. RNAcentral describes it as "bacterial SSU rRNA". It matches the Rfam family "Bacterial small subunit ribosomal RNA", at positions 28 to 507 of the family's 1533-position model. The record is from RNAcentral.
GACGAACGCUGGCGGCGUGGAUUAGGCAUGCAAGUCGAACGGUAUCAUCCUUUCGGGGGUGAGAGAGUGGCGAACUGGUGAGUAACACGUAGGUUAUCUACCCUCAAGACGGGGACAACCCAGGGAAACUUGGGCUAAUACCGGAUGUGAGCAACUUUUAGUUGUUUGAAAGGUGGCGUAAGCUGUCGCUUGGGGAUGAGCCUGCGUCCUAUUAGUUAGUUGGUGAGGUAACGGCUCACCUAGGCAAUGAUAGGUAGGCGGCCUUAACGGGUGGUCGCCCACACUGGGAUUGAGAUACGGCCCAGACUCCUACGGGGAGGCAGCAGUCGAGAAUAGUCUACAAUGGCCGGAAGGCUGAUAGUGCGACGCCGCGUGAACGAGGGAGCCCUUCGGGGUGUAAAGUUCUUUUCUAUACGAGCAGUGCUAUAUAUAUGGAUAGUAUAUAUAGAGGGAUAGUAGUAUAGGAAUAAGCAACGGCUAACUCCGUG